GUAAGGGAAGCAAUUAGGGCAGAGGCUUGUCAUUGCCCCCUUGUUCUCAUGCCCUCCCCAGGGUGAUCUGCAGAGGUGAGAGACCUCCUCGUACCAGGUGGUUUAUUUAUGAACCUACAAGUAUUGCCCACAGAAAUGGGCACAGUGAACUCUUCGUUGCACUCUCGUAAUGCCAAGCUUCUGAGCCAGGAUCUCAUACAUGAGCAGAUACGCUCACUCACGCUUCUGCAUAAAGCCAGGAACUGUCCAAGCUGUUUGAGGGCGCACAGUUGAAGGGCAAACAGGAGGCUGCCUGUUUGGCCGGCUGAGACCACCAACUCAUCAACCAGGCCCGCAGAGAUGUCGGAUAGGCGAUCUUUUGACGUCAAGAGGCUAAAAACUCCACCCUCUGAUCAUGCUAACGCCGACAUUUUGUGAACAUGGGUCCUAUGAAGAGGCAUGGAGUCUGACUACGCUUGCGCAGCUCAUCAUUACCUCACCUCUCCUCCCCUCCAAUCACCUCUCUCCACACUUCAGACCACCUUGCCCCCAUCCCAUAAAUAUCCCUGAGUCCCUAUUUUCAGGGAAGUGGAUUUGAGGCUCAUGCUCUCGCUUCCUCCCAUGGCUGCCUUGUGAGUAAACCCUCACUCUGCUGCGAUCUGGUCAUCUCGGUGUUUGGCUUUCUGGGCAGUGGGCAAAAACGAACCUGGUUUGGUGACAGUAUCACUCGAUUUAGCAACAUCUAGUUGUCACCACUGUCUUUAAUAGAGUCAUUUAAGUAAAAAUUCUCCUUCAGGGAUAGUGUUUUUUGGUUUUCUGUUUUAAAGGUUAAACUUUUCAUAUUUGAGAAAAUGUGUGUAGGUAAUUGUCAUCCAAGCCUUCUCAGAUCGUCAUUGUUAGCAGAAUCCUGUAUGACUUUGUGAACCAGGGGUCCUACCAGCACAGUAUGUAAUGAUUGAAAGAAAUCUUAGAACAGAAAUAGAGACAGCAGCCAGAACACUAUCAAGCUCCAAUUGGCCACCACGGAAAGCAGUUGUCCUUUAAAUCAGAGACAUCUGUUCUGUUAAGGCCAGGCUGUUUCUCAAGCCUCCCCCGGGCAGCAGGAGGUCAGAUCUGAGCGCUCCUUCAGAUUUGC
This 1114-nucleotide long non-coding RNA is filed under the name Equus caballus (horse). RNAcentral describes it as "lncRNA (ENSECAG00000052204.1)". The record is from RNAcentral. Lineage: Eukaryota; Metazoa; Chordata; Mammalia; Perissodactyla; Equidae.